CAGCCGCCGCGGUAAUACGGAGGGUGCGAGCGUUAAUCGGAAUAGCUGGGCGUAAAGGGCACGCAGGCGGUGACUUAAGUGAGGUGUGAAAGCCCCGGGCUUAACCUGGGAAUUGCAUUUCAUACUGGGUCGCUAGAGUACUUUAGGGAGGGGUAGAAUUCCACGUGUAGCGGUGAAAUGCGUAGAGAUGUAGAGGAAUACCGAAGGCGAAGGCAGCCCCUUGGGAAUGUACUGACGCUCAUGUGCGAAAGCGUGGGGAGCAAACAGGAUUAGAUACCCCAGUAGUCCCUGUCUCUUAUAC
This 301-nucleotide ribosomal RNA is filed under the name uncultured bacterium. RNAcentral describes it as "partial 16S ribosomal RNA". It matches the Rfam family "Bacterial small subunit ribosomal RNA", at positions 509 to 807 of the family's 1533-position model. The record is from RNAcentral.